This 433-nucleotide ribosomal RNA is filed under the name uncultured bacterium. RNAcentral describes it as "partial 16S ribosomal RNA". It matches the Rfam family "Bacterial small subunit ribosomal RNA", at positions 29 to 507 of the family's 1533-position model. The record is from RNAcentral.
AACGAACGCUGGCGGCAUGCCUAACACAUGCCAGUCGAACGAGACCUUCGGGUCUAGUGGCGCACGGGUGCGUAACGCGUGGGAACCUGCCCUUAGGUUCGGAAUAACUCCCCGAAAGGGGUGCUAAUACCGGAUAAUGUCUUCGGACCAAAGAUUUAUCGCCUUUGGAUGGGCCCGCGUUGGAUUAGCUAGUUGGUAGGGUAAAAGCCUACCAAGGCGACGAUCCAUAGCUGGUCUGAGAGGAUGAUCAGCCACACUGGGACUGAGACGCGGCCCAGACUCCUACGGGAGGCAGCAGUGGGGAAUAUUGGACAAUGGGCGAAAGCCUGAUCCAGCAAUGCCGCGUGAGUGAUGAAGGCCUUAGGGUUGUAAAGCUCUUUUACCCGGGAUGAUAAUGACAGUACCGGGAGAAUAAGCGCCGGCUAACUCCGUG